Long non-coding RNA from Exaiptasia diaphana, 562 nucleotides. RefSeq lists it as uncharacterized. The record is from RefSeq and is a predicted model, not a curated record. The transcript is spliced from 2 exons. NCBI's taxonomy places the organism in Eukaryota, Metazoa, Cnidaria, Anthozoa, Actiniaria, Aiptasiidae.
AGCUGAACAAAUCUCAUCAUCUAUGUCACAAAUGCUAGAAUUACAAGGAGGAAAAUAGCUUAUCAAAGAAAUAUUUGGCAAUUUAUCAUGAAAACAGGAUUCUUUGAAAUACCAGCUUCUAAUGAUUUAUGCAAGACACUUAACUUACUUGGAAAGGAGAAAAGCUCCUAAAAGCUCUCCCUAGGUUUACCAUGAAUGGAAUAUCGGUAUUUGUUUUUUGCUGGCUAAAGAAACUGUGAAGAUGCUGAUUAAGCUGCUGAUUUCUUUCAUCAGUUCUUCUCUGUCUGGUGUUCUCUAGCAAAAAUAAGAAAAAAGGUGAACUACCAGUGUAGUUAUAAUUUUUGAGCUUGCCAUCUUUUCAUAAAUGUAUUAAAACAUUACUUGUAAUUUAUAUUGUAUAUAUAAUAUAAACGAAUCUAAAAAAAUUCUAGAGAAAUAUACUUCUAGUAUGUUUCUCCUUAAUUGUAAAUAGCAGAAUUAUUUGCAAAUCAUGUAAUUUAAUUUAAUUCAUGUAAUUUUGUAUAGUAUAUUAAUGUGAAAUAAAAUGAUUACCGUAAAAAAA